UCGGGAAUUUUGGGCAAUGGGCGAAAGCCUGACCCAGCAACGCCGCGUGAGGGAUGAAGUAUUUCGGUAUGUAAACCUCGAAAGAAUGGGAAGAAUAAAUGACGGUUCCAUUUAUAAGCUCCGGCUAACUACGUGCCAGCAGCCGCGGUAAUACGUAGGGAGCAAGCGUUGUUCGGAUUUACUGGGCGUAAAGGGCGCGUAGGCGGCGCGGUAAGUCACUUGUGAAAUCUCUGAGCUUAACUCAGAACGGCCAAGUGAUACUGCUGUGCUAGAGUGCGGAAGAGGCAACCGGAAUUCUUGGUGUAGCGGUGAAAUGCGUAGAUAUCAAGAGGAACACCUGAGGCGAAGGCGGGUUGCUGGGCCGACACUGACGCUGAUGCGCGAAAGCCAGGGGAGCAAACG
This 402-nucleotide ribosomal RNA is filed under the name uncultured bacterium. Its description in RNAcentral is "bacterial SSU rRNA". It matches the Rfam family "Bacterial small subunit ribosomal RNA", at positions 355 to 774 of the family's 1533-position model. The record is from RNAcentral.